Molecule: ribosomal RNA, 490 nt
Filed under: uncultured bacterium
Lineage: Bacteria
Description: partial 16S ribosomal RNA
Rfam family: Bacterial small subunit ribosomal RNA
Source: RNAcentral
AUUGAACGCUGGCGGCAGGCCUAACACAUGCAAGUCGAACGGUAACAGGAAGAAGCUUGCUUCUUUGCUGACGAGUGGCGGACGGGUGAGUAAUGUCUGGGAAACUGCCUGAUGGAGGGGGAUAACUACUGGAAACGGUAGCUAAUACCGCAUAACGUCGCAAGACCAAAGAGGGGGACCUUCGGGCCUCUUGCCAUCGGAUGUGCCCAGAUGGGAUUAGCUAGUAGGUGGGGUAACGGCUCACCUAGGCGACGAUCCCUAGCUGGUCUGAGAGGAUGACCAGCCACACUGGAACUGAGACACGGUCCAGACUCCUACGGGAGGCAGCAGUGGGGAAUAUUGCACAAUGGGGGCAAGCCUGAUGCAGCCAUGCCGCGUGUAUGAAGAAGGCCUUCGGGUUGUAAAGUACUUUCAGCGGGGAGGAAGGGAGUAAAGUUAAUACCUUUGCUCAUUGACGGUACCCGCAGAAGAAGCACCGGCUAACUCCGUG